CGAGGCGAACUGCGGAGGUUCUCUGAAAGUUUUUUUUUCUUUUUUGUAUUGGGCCACCCGCGAGGCCCGCGAGUCCACGCUCGCAGGCUCGCAGCAUGCGACAGCAACCGUGUUCUUUUGGGCCGAAUUAUUCGCAAAUCGCGUUUAAUUCGCGAAUAAUUACUUUUACCCAAAAAAACGUGACUUUUUUCGAAUUUUUGGAAAAAAUACGAAAACGGCUGUUUUAUUCGGCUUUUCAAAAAUUCGCGAAUAAUUCGCGAAUUAACUAACUAUGCAUGGAAGAGACGAAGAAGAUGACGAUGAAGAAAGAAAAAGGGGGAGAGAGAGAGAGAGAGGGGAGGGGCGAAAAAGGUGAAGUAUGCGCUGGGUAUCGAGAGGACGAGUGCGGAGACGAGACGGAUAUAUUUUAAUCAAAAAANUUAUCGGUUUAGUUUUAUCCCUACUAUUCUGUUGUUAUAGCUUAGUCAGUUUAUAUGGUUCAGUAUUUUUAUUACUUUGGAAUAUGUGGACUUUCAUGAAUAUAAUAAAAGAAUUUCUGGAUUUGGUAAAAUAAAAGGUUUUCUACCCCUCGUGGUAGCUUUUAUAAAAGAUAAAAGUUUUCGCGUAUGGAACAGUUUUUAAAAGGUUUUUCGUGGACUUUUGUUUAAAUAUCGAAUGUAAAACUACGGUGUGAAUGGUGAAUGUAUGAAUGUAUAGCUAUCUGUAUAUUCAUUUAGUUGUGGUUGUAUACUGUUUGUACUUUUGUACUUGUGCGACGCCGUGCAAAUGCAGGGGAGAUUCUGUUCGUGUGAACAGUGGAUUCCCUGUAUUUGUGGCGGAUCUGACAUACUCUGGGGUCAGGUGUUUCAAAAAAAAAAAAAUUUAGUCGUUUUCGCUGUUUUUCCAAACUAAAAAGGGACCCCGGGGCGUGACAAACUCGACCGCAUCCUUCUUAAGACGGGUUCUUUUCAGAUUUUUUUUUUUUUUUUUUUUGUGUUUUGGGGGGAUUUGUUACAAUUGUAAGGAAAUUGAUGUGUAAGUUGAUUUAGACUCACAUGAUCUCAUUCUGAUUCCAUAGUAUGGCGUAAUUGUGAAAAGCCGCGGUGGGAUCGAACCACAAGUGGAACUUCAUCUCCCUGCCGAUGAUCCGGCCGUCUCCGCUGCCCCUGACGUAGACAUUCGUCUGCAACGUAUACGGCCUCCCCGGGGUCGUCCCGAGAAACUCGAUGUCGACCUCGUCGUGGUACCCGGGAUGGACUUGAUUGUUCGAAAGCUGCAACGAAAUUUAAUUUUUUUUUUUCAUUCAAAAAAUAAAAAUUAUAAACCAGCUGCAUUUGAAACUUUNGGAGAGAGAGAGAGAGGGGAGGGGCGAAAAAGGUGAAGUAUGCGCUGGGUAUCGAGAGGACGAGUGCGGAGACGGGACAGAUAUAUUUUAAUCAAAAAAAAAAGUUAAUGACCCGAUUUGGAUUUGAACUCCCGUUUGCGUGUACCCUUAGUAUAGGUAGUCGGUAGGGAUGUAAUGUGUUCCGAGCCAAUUCGUGCCGAAGGGCGGCCCAGCCCGACCCGGUUCUUAAUCCGGGCCGUGCCGUGUCGGCCCGAUUAUAUGAAGUAGGAGGCCGACCCGACCCCCUGGCCGUGCCGGGCCGGGCCGGGCUUCGUGCCAGGCUACCACCUACCUGGCGCCAGGCACAGUUUUUUUUAGAAAUUUUUUUUUCAGAAAAAGAGAUAAUUCGUUUUUAAAUUAUAAUUUGACUUAUAGCUUACUUUAUACAAUUAUACCCAACUUUUUACAAACUAUUGUAUUAAAUAUUUUUAAUACUUUUUUAUUAUUUGAAGAAAAGUUAAUAUUUUUAAAAAGUAAUUACAACAAAUAUAUAAAGUUUGUAUUAAUUAUAUUACAUAAAGUUUUUAUUUUUAAAAAAAAUUUAUUUUUUUUAAGAAAAAGAGUUUGAAUUAUAACUUUUUGACUUAUAAAUUUUAAUUUACACAAUUAUACCUAACCUUUUAAAACUCAUUUAAAAUUUUUAUAAAAUUAAAAAAAUAAAACACAAAUAAUAAAAUUGGUAUUUGAAUUAGUCAUAUUAUAUAAUUACAUUAGAGAAAUAUAUAAAAAUUCAAAAAAUCAAAAAUAUAUUUAAAAUAAAAUGGUAUUGUUUAUACAACCAAUUAACAAACAAUAGAGAAAAAAAAAUUCAACAUAAUUUUUUUCUUCAUUACAUCAUUUUUUCACUUAAAAAAUAAAUAUAUCUGCUAAAAAGCGGUACCAAAUAAAAAA
Molecule: long non-coding RNA, 2254 nt
Filed under: Ananas comosus (pineapple)
Lineage: Eukaryota; Viridiplantae; Streptophyta; Magnoliopsida; Poales; Bromeliaceae
Description: long non-coding RNA (ACOM_LNC038675)
Source: RNAcentral